This 253-nucleotide ribosomal RNA is filed under the name uncultured bacterium. RNAcentral describes it as "partial 16S ribosomal RNA". It matches the Rfam family "Bacterial small subunit ribosomal RNA", at positions 524 to 776 of the family's 1533-position model. The record is from RNAcentral.
GACGAACCGUGCGAACGCUGUUCGGGAUCACUGGGCUUAAAGGGUGCGUAGGCGGGUUGUCCAGUCUGGGGUGAAAUCCCACGGCUCAACCGUGGAACUGCCUCAGAUACUGACGACCUCGAGGGAGGUAGGGGCGAGCGGAACUGUGGGUGGAGCGGUGAAAUGCGUUGAUAUCCACAGGAACUCCGGUGGCGAAGGCGGCUCGCUGGACCUCUUCUGACGCUGAGGCACGAAAGCUAGGGGAGCAAACGGG